CAGCAGGCGCGCAAAUUACCCACUCCCAGAACGGGGAGGUAGUGACGAAAAAUAACAAUACGGGACUCUUUUGAGACCCCGUAAUUGGAAUGAGUACACUCUAAAUCCUUUAACGAGGAUCCAUUGGAGAGCAAGUCUGGUGCCAGCAGUCGCGGUAAUUCCAGCUCCAAUAGCGUAUAUUAAAGUUGUUGCGGUUAAAAAGCUCGUAGUUGGAUCUCAGCUCCGGCCGGACGGUCCGCCUACCGGUGGUUACUGUUCGCUGCCGAGCGUUCAGGGGGCUUCGUCCUAUGAUCUUCACCGGUUGUCGGUCGGGGCCCCCACGUUUACUUUGAAAAAAUUAGAGUGCUCAAAGCAGGCGCGACGCCUGAAUAAUUGUGCAUGGAAUAAUGGAAUAGGACCUCGGUUCUAUUUUGUUGGUUUUCGGAACACGAGGUAAUGAUUAAGAGGGACAGACGGGGGCAUUCGUAUUGCGACGCUAGAGGUGAAAUUCUUGGACCGUCGCAAGACGAACUACUGCGAAAGCAUUUGCCAAGAAUGUUUCCAUUAAUCAAGAACGAAAGUUAGAGGUUCGAAGGCGAUCAGAUACCGCCCUAGUUCUAACCAUAAACGAUGCCAGCCAGCGAUCCGGCUGUGUUCCUCAAAUGACACGCCGGGCAGCUUCCGGGAAACCAAAGCUUUUGGGUUCCGGGGGAAGUAUGGUUGCAAAGCUGAAACUUAAAGGAAUUGACGGAAGGGCACCACCAGAAAUGGAGCCUGCGGCUUAAUUUGACUCAACACGGGAAAACUUACCCGGCCCGGACACAGGAAGGAUUGACAGAUUAAGAGCUCUUUCUUGAUUCUGUGGGUGGUGGUGCAUGGCCGUUCUUAGUUGGUG
This 874-nucleotide ribosomal RNA is filed under the name Cyrtophora moluccensis. Its description in RNAcentral is "SSU rRNA". It matches the Rfam family "Eukaryotic small subunit ribosomal RNA", at positions 426 to 1303 of the family's 1831-position model. Lineage: Eukaryota; Metazoa; Arthropoda; Arachnida; Araneae; Araneidae. The record is from RNAcentral.